ACGCAUGUGGGGUUGGAUCCAAGGGCCCACAUGUGCCCUUCCUUUAAUAAUUUUGAAAAUAAUAGUUCUCAAGGAAAUUACAGCAGAAACAAUUUUAUAAAUUCUGAAAAAUUUCUAAAAUUCAUUAAAAUAAAUAUGUAAAAAACAAGUGACUAAAGGGCAUUCAACCCAACCUAGUGACUAUGAUCUACAACUGUCGUCUCAAACCAACCUAAUGGAACCCAUGACCCACAAUCCCAUACAAAGGGCUCAUGAUUGGCUUGUCAAAGUUAGCCACUAAAUAGUAGAAUCAUAGUCCCGAACAGUUCUCCACUCAAGAGCAAGUCAAGCACAUAUCACUAUAAUGCAAGGGGACUCUCUCUAUGCACAUGUGCAUGUAUCCUGCUUUAGGGUUGCUUUCCAGUAAUGCAGCUGUCAUAUGUACAUGCCGGGUGAAAGUUUGUUGAGGAUUUAGCCCUUGCUCUCACAGGCCUACAUCCGCACACAGGAGACCACAUAGCUCUUUUGGC
This 509-nucleotide long non-coding RNA is filed under the name Amborella trichopoda. RNAcentral describes it as "long non-coding RNA (ATRI_LNC001040)". The record is from RNAcentral. Lineage: Eukaryota; Viridiplantae; Streptophyta; Magnoliopsida; Amborellales; Amborellaceae.